Molecule: ribosomal RNA, 253 nt
Filed under: uncultured bacterium
Lineage: Bacteria
Description: partial 16S ribosomal RNA
Rfam family: Bacterial small subunit ribosomal RNA
Source: RNAcentral
GACAGAGGGUGCAAGCGUUAUCCGGAAUGAUUGGGCGUAAAGCGUCUGUAGGUGGCUUUUUAAGUUCGCCGUCAAAUCCCAGGGCUCAACCCUGGACAGGCGGUGGAAACUACCAAGCUGGAGUACGGUAGGGGCAGAGGGAAUUUCCGGUGGAGCGGUGAAAUGCGCAGAUAUCAGGAGGAACACCGAUGGCGAAGGCAGGUCUCUGGGCCACUACUGACGCUGAGAAGCGAAAGCAUGGGGAGCGAACAGG